Molecule: ribosomal RNA, 270 nt
Filed under: uncultured bacterium
Lineage: Bacteria
Description: partial 16S ribosomal RNA
Rfam family: Bacterial small subunit ribosomal RNA
Source: RNAcentral
CUAAGCCUACGGGGGGCAGCAGUGGGGGAUAUUGCACAAUGGGGGGAACCCUGAUGCAGCGACGUCGCGUGGGUGAAGGAGCGUUUCGGCGCGUAAAGCCCUAUCGGCAGGGAAGAAGGAGGACGGUACCUGACUAAGAAGCCCCGGCCAACUACGUGCCAGCAGCCGCGGUAAUACGUAGGGGGCAAGCGUUAUCCGGAUUUACUGGGUGUAAAGGGGGCGCAGACGGCAGCGCAAGCCAGGAGUGAAAGCCCGGGGCCCCACCCCGGG